This 497-nucleotide ribosomal RNA is filed under the name uncultured bacterium. Its description in RNAcentral is "partial 16S ribosomal RNA". It matches the Rfam family "Bacterial small subunit ribosomal RNA", at positions 28 to 507 of the family's 1533-position model. The record is from RNAcentral.
GAUGAACGCCGGCGGCGUGCCUAAUACAUGCAAGUCGAGCGAACAGACGAGGAGCUUGCUCCUCUGACGUUAGCGGCGGACGGGUGAGUAACACGUGGAUAACCUACCUAUAAGACUGGGAUAACUUCGGGAAACCGGAGCUAAUACCGGAUAAUAUAUUGAACCGCAUGGUUCAAUAGUGAAAGACGGUUUUGCUGUCACUUAUAGAUGGAUCCGCGCCGCAUUAGCUAGUUGGUAAGGUAACGGCUUACCAAGGCAACGAUGCGUAGCCGACCUGAGAGGGUGGUCGGCCACACUGGAACUGAGACACGGUCCAGACUCCUACGGGAGGCAGCAGUAGGGAAUCUUCCGCAAUGGGCGAAAGCCUGACGGAGCAACGCCGCGUGAGUGAUGAAGGUCUUCGGAUCGUAAAACUCUGUUAUUAGGGAAGAACAAAUGUGUAAGUAACUAUGCACGUCUUGACGGUACCUAAUCAGAAAGCCACGGCUAACUACGUG